Cryptomeria japonica (Japanese cedar) is the source of this 4994-nucleotide long non-coding RNA. RefSeq lists it as uncharacterized. Lineage: Eukaryota; Viridiplantae; Streptophyta; Pinopsida; Cupressales; Cupressaceae. The record is from RefSeq and is a predicted model, not a curated record. The transcript is spliced from 2 exons.
CUGCGAGGUUAAAAUCAAAUCACUCCAAGGGGAUUUUCUGAUAGAAUGUCCCUCGGAAUAGGAAAAACAGGGAAUUCUGAGUCGGACCGCUUAUGAUUGAUGGUGUAGGCUUUUACAUCAUAGACUGGACAACGAACUUUAACCCAAUUACACACAGGGUUUUCAAUGCUUCGAUGUGAAUUCGCUUGUACAAUUUAUCUCCCGAGUAUUAGGAUGUUGACACCCUGGAAAUGAUUGGAGAGCAAAUUGGUUUUCCUAAUGGCAUAUUGCAAGAAUCUGCAUGUCCGUUGAUUUGGAUUACUCUCUUUCGGAAGAGUUGGAGAUUAUAUCCGAGUUACGGAUUAGGUGGUAGAAAGUGGAGGUGGAGAUGGCUCUGAUCAGAUGGACCAUGUCACUUGCUAGGGUAUACAGCUGUGGAGUGCAAAAAGGAGGAGGCGGCCAUUAAGGAGAAGUAGAAUGCACCCGACAAAGGGAGAUGCUUAGUGGACAUCCCUUUUGAACAAAUAGGAAAGGGGUGAGGACAAUUCAAUAUUGGAAGAGAUUGAGGCCCUGGACACCCCCUCUAGGGAGGCUACAAUACCCGGGAAGGCAGGUGAAACCAUGGAAGAAUAUCCCAAUGUGGGGGACGUACAGAGAAUCAAGUCAGAUCUCGAAAUAGCUUUAAAAAUUAUGGGAUGCUGUGAAGGUGACCUGGAUAUUGAUCAAGGUAACACACAGAAGGAUGUGGUUUCUGAAAAUGUGAUGGAGAAGGUAAUUUGUCCAGUGAUUUUUCUGGAGAUGAAGUGUACAUCCUAAAAGAGAGAACCAUAAGCUUUUCAGAAUCAUUAACCAAGGCUAAGACAGGAGAAAAAGGUCAGAGGGGUGGAAAAACAAAUAAGACCAAAUUGGAGAUAGUAGGGAUGGUGAAAGAACAUAGACAAGAUUGGGGAAAGGUAGCGGAGGAGCCAUGAGGCUCAUAACGUGGAAUUGUAAUGCCCCUAACAAGAGGCGUGAAUUAAAGCGCCUUAUGGAGUCAUCAUCCUUGAUAUUAAUGCUCAUUCUAGAAACAAAAAUGCAAGCUGAUGACCUCCACUAAAGCAUCUUAAGAUGGAGGAUCAUUUGGAGCUCGAACCCAUUCAGAAUCAGCAGUAUUGGAACACGCAGAAAGCUGCCUGAGGGGAACAUCUAACUACCUUUCUACAGUCAAUACCAGGGGAAUUCUUUUAUCAUUGGGGCAGACUUCAAUGCCACUAGUGACAUUACUGACAAAAGAGGGGGCCUCACCUAUCUCACCAGAGCUCAGGUAAAUUUUUAAAACUUCAUCUGUGAGAACUCUUUCAUCGACCUGAUACUAAACACUGGAAGAUUUACCUAGACUAACAAGAGAUGUGGAUUUACAAGCAUCACUGAGAGGCUAGGCAGGUUCUUCUUACAAUGAAACUGGGUGCAUAUUCCCCAGUUGCAGGAGUGACCCUGAAAAUGAUUGGAGAGCAAAUUUGUUCUUUCCUAGUGGUGGAUGAUCAUACUGAAGAUGGAGAAUUUGGCAUGUAUGCAAGAAUCUGCAUGUUCGUUGAUUUGGAUUCCCCUCAUUUGGAAGAGUUGGAGAUUAGAUCUGAGUUAGGGAUUUGGCGACAGAAAGUGCAGAUGGAGAUGACUUCAAUCAGAUGUAAACUAUGUCACCUUGCUAGGGCAGACAGCUGUGAAGUGCAAAAGAGAGGAGGUGACCGUUAAGGAGAAGGAGCUUGCACCCAACAAAGUGGGAUGCUCAGUGGACAUCCCCUUCUGAACAAAUAUUAAGGGGUGAGGACAAGCCAAUAUUGGAAGAGAGUGAGACCGUGUCCACCCCCUCUAGGGAGGCUAUAAUAAUUGGGAAGGCUGGUGAAGUCAUAGAAGAACAUCCCAAUUUGGGGGACAUACAGUAGACCAAAUCAAAGAAUUCAAAUGCACUUAAUUACCAGCAGUCUUAAAGUCAAAUCAACGAUUCUGUAUGAUAUUCUUUUAGCAGAAGCUGGUAUGUUUCCAAUUGAAGCGUUAGUGGUCAUUCAAUUGUUAUGUUAUCUAAAGAAAGCUGAAAAUAUGGAUAAACACUGCUGGCCCAAAAUGAUCGUGGAAGGGGGGGAGCUAAAUCGUAGGAAAAAGAACUGGAAAAAUCAAAAUAGCAAGUGGUUGAACAAGUGGAACAUAAAUCAUCAUGACUAUCCUAACACUAAAGAAGAGAUUAAAAAGUGGGUGGUAGAAAAAUCUAGGAAUGUUAUAAGGACAAAUCAGCUAGGGAAGAAAAAAGCAUAAUAUAUCAAAGAGUUUGACCCCACCUGGGAACAUGAUGAAAAAGUGUAUUUGAGAUCCGCAAUCAACGAAAAGGCCAAAAUUCUAAUUGCACAGUUAAGGACAGGGUCUCAUCAUUUGAGAUGUGAAACUGGUAGAUGGAAGGUCCCCAAAGAGGUCUGGGAAGAAAGGACGUGCAUUUUCUGCAGUAAGAGGGCAGUGGAGACAGAAUGGCAUUUUAUCAAAGAAUGUGCAGCAUACGACAUCUGCAAUCAGUUGUUAACGAAUUAAAGGUGGAUAGCUUGAAUGAGCUUUUUGAAGAGACAAGAAUUCACAAAACAACGAGUUUCCUAAUAAAGAUCCAUAGCAAGAGAGCCAACAUAGAAAAGAACUUGAAAACGGGCUAGCAUGUUUCAUCUUGGUCCCUUAGACCGUUGGGUCUCGUGGAUGCCAUUAAAAUUCCUUCAUUCAUUCAUUCAAUCAAUCAGCUUUAAAAAUUAUGGGGUGUUGUUAAGGCCACAUGGAUAUUGAUCAAGGUAACACACACAAGGAUCUGAUUUCUGAAAAUGUGAUGGGAGAAGAUAAUUCAUACAGUGAUUUUUUUUGAGAUGAAGUGGAUACCCUAAAAGAGAGAACCAUAAGCCGAUCAUAGUCAAAAUUAAUCAAAGCUAAGACAAGAGAAAAAGGUCAGAGGGGGAGAAAAAUAAAUGAGGCAAAAUUGGAGAUAGCAAGGAAGGUGAAAGGACAGAGAAAUACAAGAUUGGGGAAGGGUAGUAGAGGAGCCACGAGGCUCAUAAUGUGGACUGUUAGGGGCUGUAAUGCCCCUAACAAGAGGAGCGAAUUAAAGUGCCUUAUGGUGUUACCAUCCCUUGAUAUUACACUCAUUCAAGAAACAAAAGUGCAAGUUGAUGAUCUCCACUAAAGUAUCUUAAGAUGGAGUAACAAGGAAUGAUUGUUCAUAGAUGCUCUAGGUGCAUAAUUCAUUCAGGAGUAGUAGUAUCGACAGGCGUGUUCAAUCAUCUUUCUCCCUUGAAGUUUGAAAUUCAAUUUAAAUUAUGUCUAUGAUCCAACCAGGAACACGUAAAAAGCUGCCACAUGGGAACAACUCAGUACCUUUCUAUAGUCAAAGGCAGGGGAAUUCUUUAUCAUUGGAGGAGACUUCGAUGCCACCGGUGACAUUUCUGACAAAAGAGGGGGGGACCUCACCUAUAAAUUUCUAAAACUUUAUUUGUGUCUCUCUCAUUGACCUGAUAUCAAAUAACAGAAGAUUUACCUAGACUAACAAGAGAUGUGGAUUUACAAGCAUCAUUGAGAGGCUAGACAGGUUCUUCUUACAAUGAAAUUAGCUGGAUAUUCCUUAGUUGUAGGAGUGUACCAUCCUACCAGUCUGAGGAUCAGACCACUUCCUGUUGCUUUUGAAAUUCUUUCCAAAAUUCCGUUCCAAAUGCUGCUCUCUCAAAUUUGAAAAUAUGUGGCUAUGGGAUAAGGACAUAGAGGAUAGAGCGAAAGACUGGUGGGAUGGGGCACCACUUGUUAGGGACACAAAGCUCUUUCAAUUUUUCAAAAAGCUAGGUUUAGUCAAGGAAAGAUUGAAAGAGUGGAAGAAGAAUCACUUUAAGAACAUUUUUGAUGAAAAAAUCACGCUGGAAAAUAAUCUUGCAGAGUUGAAUGAGACAUAAUAAGAGAUUGAAUGGAUCAGAUGCCUUUCCACGAAGGGAAGGAACUAAUGGGUCAAUGCUUAGAGGUGCUAGCUAGGGAAGAAGGUUUUUGGAGACAAAAAUCCAGGGAGUGUUGGCUCAAGGAGAGGGAUAGAAAUUCAAAAUUUGUCCGCAUGUCUACAAAAGUGAGAAGAAAUCAAAUAGAAUUACUAAGAUGAGAAAUAAGGAGGGUGUGUUGGUGGAGAAUCCAAAAGAAAUUGGCAAGGUGGCAGAAGACUACUUUAAGGUACUCUUGAAUGAGGAAGGUUCUAAUUGUUGAUGUUUUUGUAGCUAGGUCGGAUUCCUUCUAGGGCCGACCUAGCAUAUGGGUGGCUAAUUGGCCUAUCGGCCUUAGUCACAUUAAUGUGCAAAAAAUCAAUAUGUAACUUGUAUUUUGGUCUGGCCCUAAAUGGGCGAUGUAACUUGUGAAUUGAGCCGGUCGUAUAAUGGGCGAUGAAACUUGUAAUGUGCAAAUGUAACUUGUGUGAAUAGGACCGACCCUAUGUUAAACAUGUAACUUGUAAAUACUUAUAGGGCUGACCCUGUAAUGGGCGCCAAGCAUAUUAUUGUUAUUAUUUGCAAGGCCAGCCUGAGGUGUACAAUGAGGUCAAGGCACAUAUAUACAUGCAAGGUUCAUUCAUGCAUCAAUACACACAUCAAGUCAGCAAAUUACAUCCUCCUUCAACAGCGAAUUUAUCCAAGACAGCGAAUACAUCUCUAAGACAGCGAAUUGCAUUAUCAAGAUCAGCGAACUUAUCCAAGGGCAGCGAAGUCAUCUCCCAGGUCAGCAAAUCUGUGCUUGAACAACGGACCUCAUUCAUGGUCUGCUACAGGUCUCCUUAAUCAGCGAAUUCUCCUCUCUGAUUAGGGCAUCAUUCUCAGUCAAGGAUAAUGGCAGAUAAGUUUGUUAUAACUCAGAUUUUCAUGGUGCUGUUCAUACUACUGUGUGCCCUAGUGUAAAGUUAUAUUCUGCUGUUCAUAUUGCUUCAAGUGUUGAAGCAAAAUUGUGAAGACACAGUCUGAUUAUUGCCUAAUACAAGUUGAGAUUUUCUU